UCAGUGGCUUGAAUCAUAACUGUCCUUGUUAAGAUGAGGACACCAUCACUUGGAGCAAUUAUGUCAAUUACUGUGGAAACAGCUACCCAGAACGUCCGCCGUGAUCUCGCAGUCUGUGAGGAAGCCCGACUCAGUGCUGGCCUCCUUGGUGAUAAUUUCCUCAUGAGUUCGUUCGCGCGGACUAUUGCCGUGCCGAAACAGUUACUGUGAACAGCGGUUGGAAAACGCUUGUACAGAUAUUUCGAUUGGUUCCUUGUGCAGAUUGUGUGUACUACGAAGAAUGAAGUGAGUAAUUAUUAAGGACAGCUUUCAUAAAGUUCUGACCCCUAAUUAAUUUGAAGGGCCCAAGCAGUUAUGUAACAAGGUGAAAUAAGAAAAUUUACUGCGUAAACAUGCAAAGAAAGAAGUAAGUUGCAGAAAUAUAAAACAAAUUAAGUGUAUAGAACCAGCGUGCGCUAUGUGUUCUUUAAUCUAAAGGAGACAUGUGGUGUUGUAUAUAGUAUUAUAACUUUCCAUUUUCUCCGUCUUUAUCAAACGUAACCAGGAAAAUAAUCCCAUUGUUCAGGCUGGAACGAGUGAUUACACAAAAGACAACUUCUACCAAGGUUUUAAAGUCCUUACAAAAGACACCUGAUAACGAUUAUAACCACAUUUACGUGUUGUAUAGCCACUAUUGUAUCCUGUUGAAGCAAGAAAACUUUUGGAAUACAACUUCUAAUUACAUCCUCAAGCAGAGAGUGAGUUCUCAAAUUGCCAUUAGAAAAAGAUGAUCCAUGACAUUUUCGUUUUCUGGAAAAAUUGCUGCAGUUUGUUAUUGUGUGUUAUGCCUCUUAAAAUUAGAGGUAUGUUGGAUGGCACCUCGUGCCCUUUUGUAGGCUGACUUUUAAGACAGUUCAACAAAGUAUAAAAGCAAAGUAGACUGAAAAAGUUAGGCCUAGGCUCAAGAACCGACGUUAGAGUGGGGAGAUGUUUUGGGAAACGUAAGAACCCCUUUGCACCGAAGGCAGUAUGGAGAGAUCAGAGACGGUUAAAAAUUAGCAUGUAAAGUACGUAAUUGCCUGAGACGAUUACGAAAUAUCCUCCGGAUACGACAAAUGAAUGAAGCUAGCAAUCCUCAUUACAUUUGCCCAUGUCUAACGAGAGGUUGACGUAAACAUCACGGGCAUUCGUCUCUAAUACUAGGCCUACUUUUGUGAACUUGUAACUCCUGAUGCUUUUCCCGGUGGAUCGACUUUGGCCUUUCCUUUGCUAGAGGUUUGAAGAUGGAGUCGCUACACCGUGGCUACGUUUUCAUUUGCUAAUUGGUGUUAAAAAUAUGAAUUUUGACAACGCCGCAGUUCCCAAGGACUCAAGCCCAUCAACCGCCAUUCCUCCGUCGACGCCAUCGAUGACAUCAAGGACUCUCUGGAUUCGCCCGGGCUCCCCAACACAAUCAGGAGAAGACCAAUCAAGAAGCCUCCGGUGCG
Macrobrachium nipponense is the source of this 1466-nucleotide RNA transcript. RefSeq lists it as uncharacterized. Lineage: Eukaryota; Metazoa; Arthropoda; Malacostraca; Decapoda; Palaemonidae. The record is from RefSeq and is a predicted model, not a curated record. The transcript is spliced from 3 exons.